GUCUACAUGCAAGAAAUAUGUAGUCUGGCCUGCCCACUGCACACGUAAAGGGCCGCGGUAAUCUGACCGUGCGAAGGUAGCAUAAUCGAUAGUCUCUUAAUUGGGGGCUGGAAUGAACGGUCGAACAAGAGGUAGUCUGUCUUUUUUCUAAAAAUUGAAUUUAACUUUUAAGUGAGAAGGCUUAAAUUUUCUAGGGGGACGAUAAGACCCUAUAAAACUUUAUAAAGUUGAAAGUGAUUCUAUAAUUUGGGUUAGAUACGAAUCAUUUUUUACUUUAUUGCGUUGGGGCGACGGAAAUAUAAGUUGUAACUGUUUAUAGAUUGAAAUAGAUGUAUUUAGGAAAGUUGAUCCUUUACUAUGGAUUAUAAGAGUAAGUUACUUUAGGGAUAACAGCGUAAUUCUCUUUAAGAGUUCUUAUCGACAAGAGUGGUUGCGACCUCGAUGUUGAAUUAAAGUUACACCACGGUGCAGCAGCUUUGAGUGUGGGUCUGUUCGACCUUUAAACCUUU
Molecule: ribosomal RNA, 509 nt
Filed under: Meningodora miccyla
Lineage: Eukaryota; Metazoa; Arthropoda; Malacostraca; Decapoda; Oplophoridae
Description: partial large subunit ribosomal RNA
Rfam family: Bacterial large subunit ribosomal RNA
Source: RNAcentral